This is a small nucleolar RNA of Tripterygium wilfordii, 124 nucleotides long. NCBI's taxonomy places the organism in Eukaryota, Viridiplantae, Streptophyta, Magnoliopsida, Celastrales, Celastraceae. The record is from RefSeq and is a predicted model, not a curated record.
AUCCCAGAUAGACUUCUUUUGUGUUUAUCUGAUUCAUGGGAGGCAUAGAUUGGCAAUGGAUGUUUCGCUGAUAGCAUCUAUUUUGUCUUUAGGGAGGUGUUUAAUAGUAGCAUUCCAUACAUGA